AUUGAACGCUGGCGGCAUGCCUUACACAUGCAAGUCGAACGGCAGCACGGGAGCAAUCCUGGUGGCGAGUGGCGAACGGGUGAGUAAUAUAUCGGAACGUGCCCAGUCGUGGGGGAUAACGCAGCGAAAGCUGUGCUAAUACCGCAUACGAUCUACGGAUGAAAGCGGGGGAUCGCAAGACCUCGCGCGAUUGGAGCGGCCGAUAACAGAUUAGCUAGUUGGUGGGGUAAAGGCCCAACAAGGCGACGAUCUGUAGCUGGUCUGAGAGGACGACCAGCCACACUGGAACUGAGACACGGUCCAGACUCCUACGGGAGGCAGCAGUGGGGAAUUUUGGACAAUGGGCGCAAGCCUGAUCCAGCAAUGCCGCGUGCAGGAAGAAGGCCUUCGGGUUGUAAACUGCUUUUGUACGGAACGAAACGGCUCUGGUUAAUACCUGGGGCUAAUGACGGUACCGUAAGAAUAAGCACCGGCUAACUACGUGCCAGCCGCCGCAGUAA
RNAcentral lists this ribosomal RNA (500 nucleotides) under uncultured bacterium. Its description in RNAcentral is "partial 16S ribosomal RNA". It matches the Rfam family "Bacterial small subunit ribosomal RNA", at positions 30 to 523 of the family's 1533-position model. The record is from RNAcentral.